AUUGAACGCUGGCGGCAGGCCUAACACAUGCAAGUCGAGCGGCAGCGGGAAAGUAGCUUGCUACUUUUGCCGGCGAGCGGCGGACGGGUGAGUAAUGCCUGGGAAAUUGCCCAGUCGAGGGGGAUAACAGCUGGAAACGACUGCUAAUACCGCAUACGCCCUACGGGGGAAAGCAGGGGACCUUCGGGCCUUGCGCGAUUGGAUAUGCCCAGGUGGGAUUAGCUAGUUGGUGAGGUAAUGGCUCACCAAGGCGACGAUCCCUAGCUGGUCUGAGAGGAUGAGCAGCCAAACUGGAACUGAGACACGGUCCAGACUCCUACGGGAGGCAGCAGGGGGGAAUAUUGCACAAUGGGGGAAACCCUGAUGCAGCCAUGCCGCGUGUGUGAAGAAGGCCUUCGGGUUGUAAAGCACUUUCAGCGAGGAGGAAAGGUUGAUGCCUAAUACGUAUCAACUGUGACGUUACUCGCAGAAGAAGCACCGGCUAACUCCGUGCCAGCCGCCGCCGUAA
RNAcentral lists this ribosomal RNA (508 nucleotides) under uncultured bacterium. RNAcentral describes it as "partial 16S ribosomal RNA". It matches the Rfam family "Bacterial small subunit ribosomal RNA", at positions 29 to 523 of the family's 1533-position model. The record is from RNAcentral.